UACGGAAGGCAGCAGGGGGGAAUAUUGCACAAUGGGCGCAAGCCUGAUGCAGCCAUGCCGCGUGUAUGAAAAAGGCCUUCGGGUUGUAAAGUACUUUCAGUCGUGAGGAAGGUGUUAAGGUUAAUAACCUUAGCAAUUGACGUUAGCGACAGAAGAAGCACCGGCUAACUCCGUGCCAGCAGCCGCGGUAAUACGGAGGGUGCGAGCGUUAAUCGGAAUUACUGGGCGUAAAGGGCACGCAGGCGGUUAAUUAAGUUGGAUGUGAAAUCCCCGGGCUUAACCUGGGAAUGGCAUUCAAGACUGGUUAGCUAGAGUCUUGUAGAGGGGGUAGAAUUCCAUGUGUAGCGGUGAAAUGCGUAGAGAUGUGGAGGAAUACCGGUGGCGAAGGCGGCCCCUGGACAAAGACUGACGCUCAUGUGCGAAAGCGUGGGGAGCGAAACAGGGAUUAGAUACC
RNAcentral lists this ribosomal RNA (454 nucleotides) under uncultured bacterium. Its description in RNAcentral is "bacterial SSU rRNA". It matches the Rfam family "Bacterial small subunit ribosomal RNA", at positions 340 to 786 of the family's 1533-position model. The record is from RNAcentral.